RNAcentral lists this ribosomal RNA (619 nucleotides) under uncultured Bacteroidota bacterium. RNAcentral's name for it is "bacterial SSU rRNA". It matches the Rfam family "Bacterial small subunit ribosomal RNA", at positions 1 to 598 of the family's 1533-position model. Lineage: Bacteria; Pseudomonadati; Bacteroidota. The record is from RNAcentral.
UGCUUGCGGGCGCCAUGGCGGCCGCGGGAAUUCGAUUAGAGUUUGAUCAUGGCUCAGGAUGAACGCUAGCGGCAGGCUUAAUACAUGCAAGUCGAGGGGCAGCAGCUUUAUAGCAAUAUAGAGGCUGGCGACCGGCAAACGGGUGCGGAACACGUACACAACCUUCCUUGAAUAGGGGGAUAGCCCAUAGAAAUGUGGAUUAAUACCCCGUAAUAUAGCGGUGUGGCAUCACACUGUUAUUAUAGUUUCGGCGAUUCGAGAUGGGUGUGCGGCUGAUUAGGUAGUUGGCGGGGUAAAGGCCCACCAAGCCUUCGAUCAGUGGCUGAUGUGAGAGCAUGAUCAGCCACACGGGCACUGAGACACGGGCCCGACUCCUACGGGAGGCAGCAGUAAGGAAUAUUGGUCAAUGGACGCAAGUCUGAACCAGCCAUGCCGCGUGAAGGAUGAAGGUCCUCUGGAUUGUAAACUUCUUUUAUAGGGGGCGAAAAAAGGUCUUUCUAGAUUACUUGACAGUACCCUAUGAAUAAGCACCGGCUAACUCCGUGCCAGCAGCCGCGGUAAUACGAAUCACUAGUGAAUUCGCGGCCGCCUGCAGGUCGACCAUAUGGGAGAGCUCCCA